GCAGCGGUAGUUCAGUGGCAGAAUUCUCACCUUCCAUGAGUAGACCUGGGUUCGAUUCUCAGUCAAUGCU
Molecule: transfer RNA, 70 nt
Filed under: Loxodonta africana (African savanna elephant)
Lineage: Eukaryota; Metazoa; Chordata; Mammalia; Proboscidea; Elephantidae
Rfam family: tRNA
About the family: Transfer RNA (tRNA) molecules are approximately 80 nucleotides in length. Their secondary structure includes four short double-helical elements and three loops (D, anti-codon, and T loops).
Source: Rfam by way of RNAcentral